Molecule: long non-coding RNA, 3994 nt
Filed under: Sarcophilus harrisii (Tasmanian devil)
Lineage: Eukaryota; Metazoa; Chordata; Mammalia; Dasyuromorphia; Dasyuridae
Description: lncRNA (ENSSHAG00000026315.1)
Source: RNAcentral
CCCCAGAUAGCAGGUUGACCAAUACAUGUUAAGUAUGUUAAAAUAUAAGUUAAAUACAAUGUAUGUCUACAUGUCCAUACAGUUAUUUUGCUGCACAAAAAGAAUCGAACUCUGAAAUAGUGUACAAUUAACCUGUGAAGGAAAUCAACAAUGCAGGCGGACAAAAAUAGAGGGAUUGGGAAUUCUAUGUAGUGGUUCAUAGUCAUCUCCCAGAGUUCUUUUCCUGGGUGUAGCUGGUUCAGUUCAUUAUUGAACAAAUGGAAGCGAUUUGGUUCAUCUCAUUGUUGAGAAAGCCACGUCCAUCAGAAUUGAUCAUCAGAUAAUCUUGCUGUUACUGUAUACAAUAAUCUGGUUCUGCUCACUUCCCUCAGCCUCAGUUCUCGUAAGUCUUUCCAGGCCUCUCUGUAUUCAUCCUGCUGCUCAUUUCUUACCGAACAAUAAUAUUCCAUAAUAUUCAUAUACCACAAUUUAUUCAGCCAUUCUCCAAUUGAUGGGCAUCCACUCCAGUUUCUGGCUACUACAAAGAGGGCUGCCACAAACAUUCUUGCACAUGUGGGUCCCCUUCCCUUCUUUAGUAUCUCUUCGGGGUAUAAGCCCAGGAGAAAUAUUGCUGGGUCAGAGGGUUUACACAUUUUUACAGCCCUUUGGGCAAAGUUCCAAAUCGUUCUCCAGAAUGGUUGGAUCCGUUCACAGUUCCACCAACAAUGAUGUAUCAGUGUCCCAGCUUUCCCAUACCCCCUCCCACAUUCAUCAUUAUGAAAUUAAGACAAAGGGAACGCCUUCUAAGGGGGAGGCUCUCACUCGCUAGGGUCACCCAGUGUGCCAGAGCCUGGAGGGGCUAUUUCCCAGAAGUCAGUGUCUGGAUCAAAGGUUAGCGGGGGUCAGGGGCCUUGCCCCGCUCUCCUGGUGGUCUUGGGUACAAAGAGUGGCUUGGGCCCUCUUUGCAGACAGGCUGACCCUGCCCAGGAGCAGCUCACCAGGGAGCGCCAGUCUUGGCCCGGCUCUACCGCUCAGCUCCCUCUGGGUGCUCACGGCCUAACUGGCCCGCUCGUCUCUGCGGGUCUCAGUUCCCUCACCAGAAAGCGGAGGAGGUCCGACUGCCAGGAUGGCCUCUGGGCCCAUCCCCGCUGACCUGAAGAUCAAACAGGGUUUAUGGGCACAGCGCUUUCUGUAAUUAAAAGAGCUCCACCGCCUGACUCCAACCUGGUCCUUCUGGUCUCAUGGAUGGAGCCCCUUGGACCUUCAUGACCUCAGCACAGGGCCUCCCUGGGGCUCUCACACACAAGCCUCGUCUCCCGCCUCUGAGCCUUUGCCUGAGCCGUUCCCAGGUCUGGAAUGUCCUCCUCACUUCUCUCUCCCAAAAGCCCUAGUUUCCUUCAAGGAAGUUCCAGCUUCAAGCAGUUCCAGCUCCAUAUGCCCCCCUCCCCAAUCCCACCCUGCACAGAGUCUGCCCCAGGGCUUCCCGAGGGGCCUUUACUCUCAGAGCCCAGCCCAGGGCCUGGCCGGACAGGUGCCCCACCACCACAGGUGCUAUUCCCUGUAUGUCACACCUGAGUGUGUGCACUCCCAACCCCAGACUCCAUCUUCCUUCUUUCCUGAACACCUGGCUUCUUUGGGGUGACAAAACAACACCUCUAAAAAGCACCGGGCUGGAAGCCAAAAGGCUCCGGGUCCUUGGUCUGCCGUGGGAUGGCUGGACCCUGGCUGAACUGCCCCUGAGGGUCUCAGUGACUCCAUCUGUAAAAUGGAGCCCAGCAGCCUUUCCCCUCCCGGCUUAGGUUCUCCAGCAGGAGCUGAGCUAAGACAGACAGAACGAGGCAGUUGGUACUUUCUGCCAGACCAUCCUUAAAGACUGACCCUAGGGGCUGGGGCACCAAAGCCCCCUGUAGUCACGGCUUCCUCUGCUAGCUGAGGGCACCUUCCUUGGGGGCCUCUGCUGGGCUGAGCGGGGCAGGCCCAGGGAUACGUAGGUCCAGUUUGGAGGGGGACCGGUCUGAGGGGUGCGGUCUGACUCAGCGUGCCCACACUUCCCAAGCUGCCAUGGCCUGUGGCUGCCCCUGCCCCUUCCCCAGCCCCCCUUCUCACAAGAUUACCCAUGAACAGCAUGUUUUUCCACACUCUCAGGAUCUCCGUUCCCUCAGCAAGAAGGCUGCAGAGAGUCCGGGGCAGAGGCUGCCCUGUCCGGAAAGGGCUGGAGAGCAGGUUUGAGUUUGCGCCCAGGGACAUGGGGCAAGAUGCACCACAAGCAGCGGGGGAUGGGGAGCACAGGCUGACCUCCCUCCCACGGUCACGUCCCACAGACAGGGCUGGGGAAACUGGAGUCGGGCCGGCUCGGGCCAGAGGGGACUGCGUGUACCUGGCUCAGGGUCCAGCACUAGCCUUCCUCAGGGGGGGCGGCGAUGGCGGACGGCACUGGCAGCUUCCACAGGGAGGGGGCGAGACCCUGGCACCCCCAGCUCUUAGAAGAGCCAGCUUCGGAGCAGGGGCCCAGGCAUCUGGCAGUUACCCAGGAUUCUUGCCCUGCCUCAUACAAACACCCCCUCCUUCCUUCCUCCUGAGCAGAGGCUCUGGCUCCCACUGCCCCAAAGCCUUCUCCUUCCUGUGGGCAGCCCCUGCCUUUCUGUCUCUCCCUUCUCCUUCAAGUCUGACUUCAAAGCUCGGAAGUUGGCGAGGUGUCUGGAGGCUACAGCUCCAGGCCCGACCCUUACUGGCAAGGACGUCCUAAUGUGCACAGGGCCAGGGUUUUUCUCCUGCGCUGCCCCUGGUCCCAGAGCCACUCUCCAGGCUCAGAGAGGGGCAGAAGCGUGCCAGGGGAUGGAUGGUCCCGGAAACCAGAAUCUGUGGGCAGAGGAGCCCACCCUGGGGGGUCUCAGAGAAAGCCCCCCGCUCCUGAGUGGGGACAGGGAAGCCUGCUCCAUCGAUACAGAUGGAGUCCCAGUGACAAAAGGUAAAGUAAGCAGGACACGAGAGAGCUGCUGAGAUGGAGGGUGACAACUCCUUUCAAGGAGGUGACAACUUGGAGAGCAAGCUUGGCGAGAUGUCCCAGAGAUCCAGGGCCACCGCCAGGAAGCCUGAAGCCAUUCCCUGUCUGGGAAUGGAGGGGCAGAGGCUGGAGGCUGGCUCCCACGGCCUCUCCUAGAGGCUGGACACCCGAGGCCCUGCGAUCUGCUCACGUGGGUCUGGGAGCUCCCUCACACAAGGGUCCCGAGAAGCCCCGGGGCCUUGUGGGAUUCUCCUGGAAAUGGCCAGUUUUCAGUUAUUUUGACACUGCCAGUUAGAUUAGAAUGGAGCUAAAAGAAUGCCCGGGAAAGUCACUAGACCCCUGCCAUGCCUUCAAACUGCUGCUUCCCUUGCUGAGCCAAAACCCUAGAAAAAGCUGUUUGGACUUGGUGUCCUCCCUGGCUCCUCAGGGACCUCAGGAUCAACCAGCCUGGCACAGACAGUGGCCUUUGGCCUCCUUGUCCCCGGGACCCCUGGUGUGUUGGACUAUAAGCUCCCUGAGGGCAAGGAUGUGCCAGAUGGAAAUGAAGAAACCCCAGGGGUGACAGAGGAACCACCAUUUCCAGCUCAUCCCAUGAAAACCUGACUUCCCUGGGACUCCUGGCACUCUCCCUCAGGUCAGAAAGGGCGGCUGCCAACCAUGACAGACUUGGUGGUUCUCGGCAGUCCGAUGAUCCAAGGUGAUCGAUCCCACAAAGUCUGGAUGCAAAACGGCAUCCGCAUCCAGAGACUGAAUGUAGAUCAACUCAUUAUUUUCAGUUUUUCUUGCUUUGUUUUUGUUUUGUUUUUCUCUUUGUUCAGAUUUUUCUCUUUCAAAAUAAUUUAUAUGGAAAUAUGUACAUGUGUAACCAAAAAAAAUUUCUGUUUUACAUAUAACUGGGGAAAAUUAAAUUAUAAAAAAGGAAGGAGAAAGAAAGGGGGAUCAUGAGCGGCUGUUUCUCAUCUCUUGGGUCUCCUUGGAUUAUGUGGAAAUGAGCUGGAGUCUUGGCCCACC